UGUUCCCACGUCAAGAAUCGAACCCGCGCCUCCUGGGUGAGAGCUAGGUAUACUAUCCACUAGACCAUAC
Molecule: non-coding RNA, 70 nt
Organism: Cordylochernes scorpioides
Lineage: Eukaryota; Metazoa; Arthropoda; Arachnida; Pseudoscorpiones; Chernetidae
Source: the annotation of a GenBank genome assembly